ACUUUCAAAUAAUAACAAUACAUCAAGUCAGAAGCAGUUCCCAUAUGAUUUCGAGCAUAUACUUGCAACAAGUCAGGGUCAGUAACAUGAAAGCACCAUUGUCUAAAGAAUCACAUGUUGUUACAGCAUGUAUGCAUGUAUUUGUCACAUUGCUAUGGUCACGCAAUAAAUAGUUCUUUUGCAGUUUGAAGAUCUAACUUUUUUGUGGUGUUUUUCCUCACCCUCUUCACAGAAAAGGGGCCUCCUGCUUUUGACUUUGGAUUAAGAGGAGUAUUUUUUACAUCUUUUACAUCUUUGCCCCUUCAGUUUUGGUGCUUAAUUUGUAAAAUCCUAACCUAAUUUGAUGUUUAAUAGGCUUUUCCUUAAUCCCUCCUUAUUAUCCAACAUAUUCGCUUAUCCAACAUUCUGCCGGCCCGUUUAUGUUGGAUAAGUGAGACUCUACUUUAUAUGCAUCUGCCAGACUAUGUUGCUUUGUAAUUUGGCCCUCUUGGCUUUCUGUACCCCUAGUUAUGAUACAAUAGCUCCUCCCUUCUCUCUCAGGGCCUGUACUUUGUCUGAAGAGAGAACAUGGCUGCUCAGUCUCUGGGAAACUAUCAUUUUUUCACCUGCUGUAGUGUGAUGUUUUACAAGAUUUGCCCAGAAUAAAGGAUCUGGAACCUUGUUUUGCAUCUCUGCAGCUGAGUUGACACUAUCUGACAAAAUUUCUGGUCUUGAACCUCCGUCGUCUUUUUGACGGGCAAUACCUACUUACACUGGAUUGACGCUGGACUGACUGACUACGAUUCCGGAUUAACCCUGCUGCUGGCUAUCGGUGAGACCUUUGGAUUCCUUGACGACCACGCUUGGCUAUUGAUCUUCUGGACCGGAUUGGGACCCUGCUGACUGCCGUUACCCUAGACCUGAAUCCUGACUACGACCAUGCUUUCGUUCGCUGCUUUACUCCCCUGCUGUUUCUGAGUAGCAGAGAGGAAUCUGCUACCAGUCUUUUGUUUACAUUCUGACUCCUGUUGAUCCUCUUUUGUUUGCAUUGUUUGCCAAGCUGAAGUAAGCACUUUGAUUUAAUCCGGAUUACACUGCUGUUUAACCCAGUUUAUCCCUUUGAACCAUUUAAGCUCAAACUGAUCUGUUUUUUGUUAUUUAUCCCACUGAAGUCAAGUGUUUGCCCUGUUCUUUGUUUCCUACGGGCGUUUUUAGUUCUGUAACCUCAAUAAACUGAGUUUUGUUUUA
Molecule: long non-coding RNA, 1227 nt
Organism: Anolis carolinensis (green anole)
Lineage: Eukaryota; Metazoa; Chordata; Lepidosauria; Squamata; Anolidae
Exons: 2
Source: RefSeq, a predicted model, not a curated record